RNAcentral lists this ribosomal RNA (482 nucleotides) under uncultured bacterium. RNAcentral's name for it is "bacterial SSU rRNA". It matches the Rfam family "Bacterial small subunit ribosomal RNA", at positions 28 to 511 of the family's 1533-position model. The record is from RNAcentral.
GAUGAACGCUAGCGGCAGGCUUAACACAUGCAAGUCGAGGGGUAUAGUUCUUCGGAACUAGAGACCGGCGCACGGGUGCGUAACGCGUAUGCAAUCUACCUUUUGCAGAGGGAUAGCCCAGAGAAAUUUGGAUUAAUACCUCAUAGUAUGUGAGAAUGGCAUCAUUUUCACAUUAAAGUCACAACGGCAAAAGAUGAGCAUGCGUCCCAUUAGCUUGUUGGUAAGGUAACGGCUUACCAAGGCAACGAUGGGUAGGGGUCCUGAGAGGGAGAUCCCCCACACUGGUACUGAGACACGGACCAGACUCCUACGGGAGGCAGCAGUGAGGAAUAUUGGACAAUGGGCGCAAGCCUGAUCCAGCCAUGCCGCGUGCAGGAUGACGGUCCUAUGGAUUGUAAACUGCUUUUGUACAGGAAGAAACACUGGUUCGUGAACCAGCUUGACGGUACUGUAAGAAUAAGGAUCGGCUAACUCCGUGCCAG